AGAGCGAACGCUGGCGGCAGGCUUAACACAUGCAAGUCGAGCGGGCGUAGCAAUACGUCAGCGGCAGACGGGUGAGUAACGCGUGGGAACAUACCUUUUGGUUCGGAACAACCCAGGGAAACUUGGGCUAAUACCGGAUAAGCCCUUACGGGGAAAGAUUUAUCGCCGAAAGAUUGGCCCGCGUCUGAUUAGCUAGUUGGUGAGGUAACGGCUCACCAAGGCGACAAUCAGUAGCUGGUCUGAGAGGAUGAUCAGCCACAUUGGGACUGAGACACGGCCCAAACUCCUACGGGAGGCAGCAGUGGGGAAUAUUGGACAAUGGGCGCAAGCCUGAUCCAGCCAUGCCGCGUGAGUGAUGAAGGCCCUAGGGUUGUAAAGCUCUUUUGUGCGGGAAGAUAAUGACGGUACCGCAAGAAUAAGCCCCGGCUAACUUCGCGCCAGCAGCCGC
RNAcentral lists this ribosomal RNA (448 nucleotides) under uncultured bacterium. RNAcentral describes it as "SSU rRNA". It matches the Rfam family "Bacterial small subunit ribosomal RNA", at positions 26 to 518 of the family's 1533-position model. The record is from RNAcentral.